ACAGCAGUCGCCGCGGGAAUACAGAGGGUGCGAGCGUUAAUCGGAUUUACUGGGCGUAAAGCGUGCGUAGGCGGCUUCUUAAGUCGGAUGUGAAAUCCCUGAGCUUAACUUAGGAAUUGCAUUCGAUACUGGGAAGCUAGAGUAUGGGAGAGGAUGGUAGAAUUCCAGGUGUAGCGGUGAAAUGCGUAGAGAUCUGGAUGAAUACCGAUGGCGAAGGCAGCCAUCUGGCCUAAUACUGACGCUGAGGUACGAAAGCAUGGGGAGCAAACAGGAUUAGAUACCCCGGUAGUCCCUGUCUCUUAUAC
RNAcentral lists this ribosomal RNA (305 nucleotides) under uncultured bacterium. Its description in RNAcentral is "partial 16S ribosomal RNA". It matches the Rfam family "Bacterial small subunit ribosomal RNA", at positions 508 to 807 of the family's 1533-position model. The record is from RNAcentral.